UGGGGAAUAUUGCACAAUGGAGGGAACUCUGAUGCAGCGACGCCGCGUGAACGAAGAAGGCUUUCGAGUCGUAAAGUUCUUUUAUAUGGGAAGAUAAUGACGGUACCAUAAGAAAAAGCCCCGGCUAACUACGUGCCAGCAGCCGCGGUAAUACGUAGGGGGCUAGCGUUGUCCGGAAUCACUGGGCGUAAAGGGUUCGCAGGCGGAAAUGCAAGUCAGGUGUAAAAGGCAGUAGCUUAACUACUGUAAGCAUUUGAAACUGCAUAUCUUGAGAGGAGUAGAGGUAAGUGGAAUUUUUAGUGUAGCGGUGAAAUGCGUAGAUAUUAAAAAGAAUACCGGUGGCGAAGGCGACUUACUGGGCUCAUUCUGACGCUGAGGAACGAAAGCGUGGGUAGCAAACAGG
Molecule: ribosomal RNA, 403 nt
Filed under: bacterium
Lineage: Bacteria
Also listed under: 2 other names
Description: partial 16S ribosomal RNA
Rfam family: Bacterial small subunit ribosomal RNA
Source: RNAcentral